Molecule: ribosomal RNA, 371 nt
Filed under: uncultured bacterium
Lineage: Bacteria
Description: bacterial SSU rRNA
Rfam family: Bacterial small subunit ribosomal RNA
Source: RNAcentral
GUAGGUGGCGAGCGUUGUCCGGAUUUACUGGGCGUAAAGAGCGCGCAGGCGGUCGUUCAAGUCGCGUGUGAAAGCCCCCGGCUCAACUGGGGAGGGUCACGCGAUACUGAUCGACUCGAAGGCAGGAGAGGGUAGUGGAAUUCCCGGUGUAGUGGUGAAAUGCGUAGAUAUCGGGAGGAACACCAGUGGCGAAGGCGACUACCUGGCCUGUUCUUGACGCUGAGGCGCGAAAGCUAGGGGAGCAAACGGGAUUAGAUACCCCGGUAGUCCUAGCCGUAAACGAUGGACACUAGGUGUUGGUGGUAUCAACCCCGCCAGUGCCGAAGCUAACGCAUUAAGUGUCCCGCCUGGGGAGUACGGCCGCAAGGCUA